CCUACGGGCGACAGCAGUGAGGAAUAUUGGUCAAUGGACGCAAGUCUGAACCAGCCAUGCCGCGUGCAGGAAGACGGCUCUAUGAGUUGUACACUGCUUUUGUACGAGAGUAAACGCAGAUACGCGUAUCUGUCUGAAAGUAUCGUACGAAUACGGAUCGGCUACCUCCGUGCCAGCAGCCGCGGUAAUACGGAGGAUUCGAGCGUUAUCCGGAUUUAUUGGGUUUAAAGGGUGCGUAGGCGGUCGGAUAAGUUAGAGGUGAAAUCCCGAGGCUCAACUUCGGAAUUGCCUCUGAUACUGUUCGGCUAGAGAGUAGUUGCGGUAGGCGGAAUGUAUGGUGUAGCGGUGAAAUGCUUAGAGAUCAUACAGAACACCGAUUGCGAAGGCAGCUUACCAAGCUACUUCUGACGUUGAGGCACGAAAGCGUGGGGAGCAAACAGGAUUAGAUACCCGAGUAGUC
RNAcentral lists this ribosomal RNA (460 nucleotides) under uncultured bacterium. RNAcentral describes it as "partial 16S ribosomal RNA". It matches the Rfam family "Bacterial small subunit ribosomal RNA", at positions 338 to 795 of the family's 1533-position model. The record is from RNAcentral.